This 474-nucleotide ribosomal RNA is filed under the name uncultured bacterium. RNAcentral describes it as "bacterial SSU rRNA". It matches the Rfam family "Bacterial small subunit ribosomal RNA", at positions 355 to 825 of the family's 1533-position model. The record is from RNAcentral.
UGGGGAAUAUUGCGCAAUGGGCGAAAGCCUGACGCAGCAACGCCGCGUGAGUGAUGAAGGCCUUCGGGUCGUAAAGCUCUGUCGGAGGGAACGAAUGCUCCUGAAGUUAACAGCCUCAGGAGGUGACGGUACCCUCAAAGGAAGCACCGGCUAACUCUGUGCCAGCAGCCGCGGUAAUACAGAGGGUGCAAGCGUUGUUCGGAAUCAUUGGGCGUAAAGGGCGUGUAGGCGGUAUGUUAAGUUGGUUGUGAAAACCCAUGGCUCAACCAUGGAAGUGCGUCCAAAACUGGCAAGCUAGAGUUCUGACGAGGAUGGCGGAAUUCCCAGUGUAGAGGUGAAAUUCGUAGAUAUUGGGAGGAACACCGGUGGCGAAGGCAGCUCUUUGGGUCCCUACUGACGCUGAGGUGCGAAAGCAUGGGGAGCAAACGGGAUUAGAUACCCACGUAGUCCCCUGAGCGGGCUGGCAAGGCGCAU